GAUGAGCGCUGGCGGUAUGCCUAACACAUGCAAGUCGUACGCCUCACUUCGGUGAGGAGUGGCGGACGGGUGAGUAACACGUUAGUACCUGCCCCAAAGUGGGGAAUAACUGCCCGAAAGGGUAGCUAAUACCCCAUAGUCUCCGGUUUAUCCGGAGUAAAGAUUUAUCGCUUUGGGAGGGGCUUGCGUUUGAUUAGCUAGUUGGUGAGGGUAAUGGCCCACCAAGGCGACGAUCAAUAGCUGGAUCGAGAGGUUGACCAGCCACACUGGGACUGAGAUACGGCCCAGACUCCUACGGGAGGCAGCAGUGAGGAAUCUUCCACAAUGGGCGAAAGCCUGAUGGAGCAAUACCGCGUGCAGGAUGAAGCUUUUCGGAGUGUAAACUGCUUUUCUGAAGGAAGAUUAUGACGGUACUUCAGGAAUAAGGAUCGGCUAACUACGUG
Molecule: ribosomal RNA, 443 nt
Filed under: uncultured bacterium
Lineage: Bacteria
Also listed under: 1 other name
Description: bacterial SSU rRNA
Rfam family: Bacterial small subunit ribosomal RNA
Source: RNAcentral